GGGGCCUCUAUGGGAGACCGUGGGCGGGUGUUGGUGUAUGUCGGUUGCAACAGAUGGCGCAGGAGCAGCUUUGUUUACAUCCAGGCGCCACCCCCCCUCCAGACCCACCCCCAACCCCCAGAACCCAUCAGCAGUGUUGCAACAUGGGAUCAAGCAGCAAAUGUUGCUACUUUUUUUCUUCAGUCUGGUUAUUUCCCAUUUUAAAUAAAAAAAUAAAGGUAGAUAAAUAUUAAAAUGAACAGCAGGAACUAUAUAUACUGUAUAUAUUUACUAGGUAGAUAUAACCUGACUGCAUGUCAUGAGUAAUGCUAUUAUUGUUAUAUUAUUAUACCGAAAUUAUAUUACUUUCUCUGCAUGUGUGGUUAGAUGUGUUUUAUGUGUUUAACCUUUCUGUAUAUAUAUACUGGAAUGAACCAAGGAAUUGUAGCCCUACUGCCGUUCUUUAAAACUAUGUAAUCAUGUUUUUCUUCCAAACUCAUUGUUUUAACACGCACGCUGACUUCCAUCAGUAAUGAUGAUAUAUAUUAAUUGAGUCAUUGGUUUGUAGGGGGAAAGAGUGGGUGAAUAUAAUUAUCUUGGUCUAACUUAUACUGUUUAUUAUAACGCUAUUCGUAGCAAUAUCUUUCUCUGCUCCGAUGGCAACGCUGCCUCGUUCAAAAAUCAUAACACCGCCGCGGCCGCCACGUUUACCAGCCGGAGCCUCAAAUCAUGUCCCUUUGUGGUGAUAAAGAGGACACAGCCUGGUGUGAAGCUACAUUUAUUACGGAAGGAUGCCAGCCGGGAUCCGAACACGUCCGAUAUCAUCCAAGAGAAUGUGGCAGCUGAAGGGGGAGAGUCCAAGAAAGAGGCCAAAGGUGAAGACAUUUAGCCACCCCCCCUGAAGUACAUGGCAGCAUUCAACCCUCUUGGUGAGCUGCAGGAAUGUGCUUCCCAUUGCAGUGCACCAGCUCCAUGUAUUGAUUUUGGGUGUGAACUUGAUGGGGUUGGAGGAAACUCGACUCGGCCAUCAAGCUCACCACAAUUAAUAUAACAUGAAAAGUGAAAAUUGCUGCACACAACAGUCUGCCGUCUGCACCGGGAGGCAAGGCAGCUCAAAGCCCAGGCUGUUACAACUCCUGGGCAGUUUUUGCCCAGAGCCAGCAAUUUUUUGGAUCCAAUAGGGAUGGAUUUUUUCUGAGGUCAGGUUCAACAUGCUGCAAGAUACCAAGAUCUAAGCCUAGUAGAAGAUAUGGGUUACAAGAGAGGAGGUUUGCUCUGGCCUUAUACUAUCAAAGUCCAAAUGCUAAUAGAUUUCUGAGCACAGUAUUUCACUUGCCUUCAGUUUCAACACUUCACUCAUGACUCAGGGGUAUUUCAGUACAUGUUGGCUGGAGCAAACAGACUCUGACAGCCCUGCAGCAAAGAGCACAGGCUUUGUCAAAAGAAGAGAAACUUUGUGGGAUUUGCCAUUAUUUAGGAUUACUCUUGUUACGCCAAGAAUUUUUUUCCAUAUACUUUGCCAAAUAUUGCAAGUAAUGCACCAUUGUUGGGCUUGCCUGUUAUAAAUCAGAUCUUGUUCAAUUAACAAGCUUUGGCUGUCUGCCACUUUCCAGUUGUAAUGCAAGGAAUCAUUUAUCUUCCCUGCCAGAUAUCACAUGUAAUGCACCAUUGUUGGUUUUGCCUGUUAUAAAUCAGAUCUUGUUCAGUUAACAAGCUUUAGGUGUCUGCCACUUUCCAAUUCUAAUGCAAGGAAUCCUCUGCCAGAUAUCGCAUGUAAUGCACCAUUGUUGGUCUUGCCUGUUAUAAAUCAGGUCUUGUUCAGCUCACAAGUUUUGAAUAUCUGCCAUUGCUUAUUUCAGGUGUAAUGCUUGGAAGCAUUUGUUCUCUUCCCUAGCCAUCAGUAUGCAAUGCUUUAUUGUGGAUUUUGCCUGUUAUAUUUAAUCUUGUUCAGGUAACAAGCUUUUGGUGUCUGCCUUACCUAAUAAUGUGCUGCAGUGACACUUGUCUUGGUUUCAUAAUGUAAAAUACAGCAUGUAAUUUCAUCACACUAAGUGUCUAUCAUCACAUGUCUGGCAUCAUGAAUGUGGCUUCCAGGAGUAAUCUUGCUUGUAUUACAGCAUGCAAUGUUUUUUCUGCUUUAUAUGAUAUACAUAAUCACAUAGGUGUGAUUUUUUUUUUUUUUUUUUUUUGACAAAAUGUAAUGGCAGUUAAUAUUCUUGACUAAUGCCUCAUAAACCUUGUGAAAAAUAAUGCUUUUUUGAAGGGGGGAGGGGGGGGGGCAGAGAGUGGUUUGUUUGGUUGGCCAGUUCAAGGAGUUUCAUAUCAAAUGAUUUUAUUACAUCCAACUUUAAUGUGUGCUAAAAACAUAUAUUUUAUUACAUCCAACUUUAAUGUGUGGUUCCUGCAAUAAAUGCUACAUGUUUACUGAUGUAGCCUAUGAAAUACAUAUCACUCUCUGCCCUGUAAUUUAAUUGGUGUGUCACAUACUGCAGCAUAACUUUCCUGCUAUUUUUUUACACUGAGUUGCCUUAUUUUGUCUCAUUUGCUUUUAUCAUAUGUGCCUCCGCUGCAUAGUUGUGCCUACUGAGCUUAAUAUCUUCUUGACCCUGACACCAAGGUCAGAGCUUGUGAGAUCAUAUCAUGUCCUACAUCUCAUUUUCACCUCCAGGCUCGGCUGUCUCCCAGGACCACCAAGUUAUUGCAUUCCAUUUAAGACAACUCAUGUGUUACCUUCUUGAUGUCCUCCAUCAUGUAUUUCAGAAUGUUUUAUGGUGCUUUGCUCUUAUAUUGAUGUGCCUUGCAACAUUUUUAUACAGUUUUCAUUGUAUAUAACGCACCAUUGUUGGUUUUGCCUGUUAUAAAUUGGGUCAUGUUCAGUUAACAAGCUUUGAGUGUCUCCCAUUGUUUAUUUCAGUUGUAAUGCUUAGAAGCUUUUGUUCUCUGCCCUGUCAAGCAGUAUGCAAUGCUUGCCAUUAUCUGGCACUUGUACAGUUAGUAUGAUAUUUUUGCUCAGCUAAGAGCAUGUUGCAAAAGGUAAAGGUACGGUUGGGGGCAUACGCUGUAGCAGCACGUGGCCUCAGUGCUCAUCUCUGUAACAUUGGCCCUUGAGCCCGUGGUGUUAGGGAACCCAUUACCCUGGGACACAGGACCAGUGUGACAUCCAGGUUACCACAGUUGCAAAGGCAUUAUAGUA
This is a long non-coding RNA of Eriocheir sinensis (Chinese mitten crab), 3172 nucleotides long. RefSeq lists it as uncharacterized. The record is from RefSeq and is a predicted model, not a curated record. Lineage: Eukaryota; Metazoa; Arthropoda; Malacostraca; Decapoda; Varunidae. The transcript is spliced from 4 exons.